Molecule: long non-coding RNA, 453 nt
Organism: Hibiscus syriacus
Lineage: Eukaryota; Viridiplantae; Streptophyta; Magnoliopsida; Malvales; Malvaceae
Exons: 3
Source: RefSeq, a predicted model, not a curated record
GUUCAGGCUCUUUGACUGAGUCAGGCGGUUCUGCCACCAACUCUUCCGCCGAGUCACUCAACGACUUCAACACCGGGAAAAAUAUCUCCUUUUCCGCCACCACAUCCGCCACUGCAAUCAUGGGGACAUCGUCCAAGUCCGGUGAAGGGUCUUCAAGCUUAUCCGGGUCGGGUAGGAAGGGAAGGGCUAGUGGAAUGGUGCAAGGGGCUUAGCCUCCAAGGUGUCAAGUAGAAGGGUGUAAAGUGGAUCUAAGCGAUGCUAAGGCUUACUCUCUUCUGUCAAAUCGAACAUGGGACUCCAAAAACCAGGCUUCAAGUUUCGGGGAGAGAUUGAAUCUUAAAACAGCUAAUGAGUACAACUAUCUAGGCCAGAGUGAGUGCUUGGUGAUUAAUGGUGUUAAUGAUGCUCAGAAAUUCCAAAAGCUUACGGAAGCCAUGAACAUUGUUCAAAUUU